RNAcentral lists this transfer RNA (68 nucleotides) under Marmota monax (woodchuck). RNAcentral describes it as "tRNA.Ala". The record is from RNAcentral. Lineage: Eukaryota; Metazoa; Chordata; Mammalia; Rodentia; Sciuridae.
GGAUUGUGGCUAAGCGGUAGAGCGCUUGCCUAGCAUGUGGGAGGCCCUGGGUUCGAUCCUCAGCACCA